AUGGCGGAGGAGAAGGGGACGCUGCAGGUGAUGAGGGGAUGGGUCGUGGACCACAAGCUGCGGGCCGUAGGUGCACCGCGGGGAGUUCCCCUUCCGCUGCCAGAGCUUCUCGUCUCUUUUUUCACAUCGGACGCUCUCACUCACGGGAUCGCGGGAUCCAUCGCCUACAACUGGUCCAGGCCCGACAUGAAGACCAGCGUCAAGCUCAUCCACGCUAGGUACUCAUGGAUGCGGGUAGCAGCACUAAUAUCCUUUACUAUGAUAAUUUUUGUCGCAUGGGGUUGA
Molecule: ribosomal RNA, 285 nt
Filed under: Triticum aestivum (bread wheat)
Lineage: Eukaryota; Viridiplantae; Streptophyta; Magnoliopsida; Poales; Poaceae
Description: partial small subunit ribosomal RNA
Source: RNAcentral